Molecule: ribosomal RNA, 253 nt
Filed under: uncultured bacterium
Lineage: Bacteria
Description: partial 16S ribosomal RNA
Rfam family: Bacterial small subunit ribosomal RNA
Source: RNAcentral
UACGGAGGGGGCUAGCGUUUUUCGGAAUUACUGGGCGUAAAGCGCGCGUAGGCGGACCUGCAAGUCGGGGGUGAAAGCCCGAGGCUCAACCUCGGAACUGCCUUCGAUACUGCGGGUCUCGAGUCCGAGAGAGGUGAGUGGAAUUCCUAGUGUAGAGGUGAAAUUCGUAGAUAUUAGGAAGAACACCAGUGGCGAAGGCGGCUCACUGGCUCGGUACUGACGCUGAGGCGCGAAAGCGUGGGGAGCAAACAGG